RNAcentral lists this transfer RNA (68 nucleotides) under bovine gut metagenome. It matches the Rfam family "tRNA", at positions 6 to 65 of the family's 71-position model. From Rfam's summary of the family: Transfer RNA (tRNA) molecules are approximately 80 nucleotides in length. The record is from RNAcentral.
UCGUAGCUCAGCUGGUUAGAGCGCACGCUUGAUAAGCGUGAGGUCGAAGGUUCGAUCCCUUCCGGGCC